AACACUCUGCAGAACAGCAGCAGAUCUGGAAGAAAGCGGGUGUUGGGUGAGAAUGUCAGGGUGUUUGGUGUGCUGGUGACCCUUGGCUCUCCGGCCAGUCCUUAGAAGUCCAGUCGGUGCGGAGAUAAACUAGGGUUUACGAGAACCCUGGAGUUUUACAGUUUGCUUCAGGUUCUGUGAACGGAUUCUACAUUCACUCAGCAAUCUGAGUAAAUGUGACAAGGAGUUGGAUGGAAGGGGUAGAAGGGUAAGAGGGAACAGACCAACUAAAACCCUGGGGACGACGCCUAAUGAACACCGAUAUGAUGGAAGCCGUAGAACUACAAGGUCACUGGCAGGUUUAGUCUCUACACUAAAACGUUCCCAUUUGACAAGGGUUUAUUCAGCCUCCUUUCUACAUCUAAUUCUAAAUAAACCCAUUUUUCUCCUUCCACCGAGAUAGUAACCAAGAGGAGAGAUCUUUGCGUGGAGCAGCGAUUCAAUAGAAUUAACCACACCACGAGCAAAUGCAGACAACGGCUCUAAGGUCCCUAGAGAGAUGGAAGGCAGCAUUUUUAUUUAAAAGAUUUGGAGCAUUGAGAUGAACAGCGAGCUCCGGUUUUAGAAGCAACAGCGCCCUCUAGUGGAAGGAUGAGAACUACAUCCCAAACAGCAAGUGCUAGUUCACAGCCCUGUUACAUGGAAAAUACUUUUAUUUUGUCCUCAGAAAUAUAACCGAUUUUAGGCUAUGAUUUUUCUGGUACUCAGUGAUUAUUACAUGUCACUUCUGUUCUUUACAGCUAUCCAUGCUUCGGUUUUCUCUAUUACUUUAAUAAAAAUUUCCAUUUA
Peromyscus californicus insignis is the source of this 828-nucleotide long non-coding RNA. RefSeq lists it as uncharacterized. NCBI's taxonomy places the organism in Eukaryota, Metazoa, Chordata, Mammalia, Rodentia, Cricetidae. The transcript has 2 exons. The record is from RefSeq and is a predicted model, not a curated record.